RNAcentral lists this ribosomal RNA (427 nucleotides) under uncultured bacterium. RNAcentral describes it as "bacterial SSU rRNA". It matches the Rfam family "Bacterial small subunit ribosomal RNA", at positions 355 to 775 of the family's 1533-position model. The record is from RNAcentral.
UGGGGAAUCUUGCGCAAUGGGCGAAAGCCUGACGCAGCAACGCCGCGUGGAGGAAGAAGGCCUUCGGGUUGUAAACUCCUGUCAGGGGGAACGAAGGCACCUGGGUUAAUAGCCCAAGGGUUGACGGUACCCCCAGAGGAAGCCACGGCUAACUACGUGCCAGCAGCCGCGGUAAUACGUAGGUGGCGAGCGUUGUCCGGAAUCAUUGGGCGUAAAGAGCGCGUAGGCGGCUUGUCAGGUCUGACGUGAAAUGCCGGGGCUUAACCCCGGACGUGCAUCAGAAACCGGCUUGCUAGAGUCUGGGAGAGGGAAGUGGAAUUCCUGGUGUAGCGGUGAAAUGCGCAGAUAUCAGGAGGAACACCGGUAGCGAAGGCUGCUUCCUGGAACAGUACUGACGCUGAGGCGCGAAAGCUAGGGUAGCAAACAG